UCCUUUUAACCCCACAAACCCCCAGCGAUGCGGCCAUGAAGGAAACGCCCGCAACCGCAGCCGCAGCGCCGCUCCCCGCCUUACCUUAAACCUAGCGCCUCCCUUCUCUCCCUUUGGCGGCGCCGCCCACCGUUCCCUCGCAGGUGAUGUGGAUACACCUCGCACUCAUAGCCUUCUAUUGCUAGGAUGAGGAGCUUGGACGUCUUGAGGGCGGAUUUGACCAUGGAUCUGCAUUCGCGUACCACGAAAUCCCUGUUAGAUUCGCUCCCAGUGCUGGCAAGAUGAUUUCGGGCUACUCCAUGACGCAGAGGUAUCUCAAAGAGCUUCGGCGGCGAUUUAGAGAAAGGGAACGGCAGAAGUUCAAAUUCCAGGUGCAAUUUCUCCAUUUCCGUUUCUACUCUAUCACCCGUGCUCUUCUUCUAUAUAUGCAUUGAUGUUUUUUUUUGCCUGGAUUGGAUGAUGCACAAUAUGGCCUGAUGCUUUGAUGACGAUCCGGCGCUUACAUCUGGUGGCCCACAUCAAUAAUAAUCACUUGGAUAGAUCGUGCAUUGCCAUGGAAGGGAAAUGGAGACAGGGAUCUGAGUAAGCUGAAAGUAUAUGGAGAUAUGGAUCGUGCAUUGCCAUGGAAGGGGAAUGGAGAUAGGGAUAUUGUUGUAUAAUACUGUAUCAGCUUAUUUAUCUGCACACUCGCUUCUGUGUGUCUAAUCAUAUACUAGCUGCAUAAUAAAUGUGUUAGUUGUAGCUUAUAAUGUUUAUCAAGGAAUACUUUUUGCUGCGGUAAUUAUUCCUAGGCAUGGAGAUUAUUUUUGCCUUGAUAUUUAUCAACACAUAAUCUGAUUAUUUGGGAUUUGGAGCAGUUUUCUUUUUGGGAUUUGGAGCAGUUAAUAAUAAGCACAUUGUAAGAGCAUGGGGGUGCGGCGGCGUAAGUGCACGACAGAGGACUUUUGUGCAUCCUUGAGUCUUGACAAGUUUGAUGGCCUUGAGGCAAAGUCGGAGAGGCAGCAGAGCAUGCGGCAGUGGCACGAGAGGCCACACCAAAAUCCUCAAGCAGGUGCACAUCAGCAGCAACAACCUGCAACACAGCUGCAGGACGACCUGCAGGUCGUGCAUCUCAAGGAAUGCGUACUUAACAAACCCCUGCUAGAACUGCUUGUUUGGUGUUAAUCUUUAAAAGACAAAAAAUGCAAAUGGAUCUUCCGGUUCUUGUAUCAGUUCCAAGGUCUGAUACAUUAGCCUGGCUUGCUAUUAUUGGAUAUCAUCUGUGGAGAUGUAACACAAAUAGUAGAAUGGAUAAAUAGGACUUGUAGAUUAUCAUGUUUGGAUGCAAGAUUGUAACUGUCUACUCUAUACAGAUAGCACUACACUAUACAUAUAGCGCUAGGUAGAAUAUCAUAUUUUGAUGAUACAUUGUAAUUUUUCUACUCUUCUUUCUUGUAUGAGGUGGUGAUUCAAUAUUAAAUAUUGAUUUUUUUCUUCACACAA
Lolium perenne is the source of this 1482-nucleotide non-coding RNA. Lineage: Eukaryota; Viridiplantae; Streptophyta; Magnoliopsida; Poales; Poaceae. The record is from RefSeq and is a predicted model, not a curated record.